UACGGAGGGAGCUAGCGUUGUUCGGAAUUACUGGGCGUAAAGCGCACGUAGGCGGCUAUUCAAGUCGGGGGUGAAAUCCUGGAGCCCAACUCCAGAACUGCCUUCGAUACUGGAGAGCUCGAGUCCGGGAGAGGUGAGUGGAACUGCGAGUGUAGAGGUGAAAUUCGUAGAUAUUCGCAAGAACACCAGUGGCGAAGGCGGCUCACUGGCCCGGUACUGACGCUGAGGUGCGAAAGCGUGGGGAGCAAACAGG
RNAcentral lists this ribosomal RNA (253 nucleotides) under uncultured bacterium. RNAcentral describes it as "partial 16S ribosomal RNA". It matches the Rfam family "Bacterial small subunit ribosomal RNA", at positions 524 to 776 of the family's 1533-position model. The record is from RNAcentral.